CCCCGGAGGCUCGCGAGCUGGAGGAGAGGACCGCGGCAGGACUUCUCCGCGGGGCUGCGGGACCCGCGCCGGCUCACUUCGGAGAGCGCGACCCCUUAAAGGGACCUAGGCGCUUCCGCAGCGGGGUCCCGAGCAGCGGCCCCCGCAGACAGAGUCACUGACUUUGAGUUAUGAAAAAAGAACCUAUAGCAGCUUGACAACGAGGAGGUCUCUGCAUCUACCCUCCAGCAACACUGGUGACUCCCUUAUUGAAUACUUUUCACAACCAUUUGGCCUUCCUCCAGACCAUUGCAAGGGUCUGUGAUCUAGACUUUUCUGCCAUAAGUCAGAAAGAAAUGUUCACUAUGCUUCUGCCUCUGCUGCAACUCCUUGGGCUAAGGCUGGAGAAAUGAGCUUGCUGUUCUGGAAAGCAUCUUGUUUACUGACUUCCAUGUAGAGGAAUAUAUGGUUUCCAUAUAGAGGAAGGUGGUUGGGAAUGCAUGUUGAAUGAGCCAAAUGAUAGUAUCUGACAGAGACAGAUCAACAUACACAGGACAGAUCCCGUGCAAGGUGGCAACCACUAUGACAUAGUUACAAGAGGCUACUGUAGGGCAGCGUGGUCUGGGGGCUACAAUCAGUGCAACGUGCAAAGGCUGACACCUGAAAAGACAAUUUAUCCAAUGGACAAAAGAAUUUCGGACAAAGAAACAGAGCCAAGCACAGGUAUGAAAAAGCCAAAUUGGCACACAAAUAAUUUAGGGUUUGAGGGUUGGAAUCCAGUGUGUAUAUAAGAAAGUGGAAGAGGUUAGAAGGGCUGUCAAGGGUGAGACCGUGAAGGCCCUACCUAGUUAUGUGAUUCUGAAGAAUUUGGCCUUGGGGCGCCUGGGCAUCUCUGUCAGUUAAGUGUCUGGCUCUUGGUUUUGGCUCAAGUCAUGACCUCAUGGGUCCUGAAAUUGAGCCCUGCAUUAGGCUCCCCGCUCAGUGCGGAGGCUACUUGUCCCUCUCCCUCAGACCCUCCCUGGCUUGUGCUCUCUGUCUCUCUCUCUCAAAUAAAUAAAUAAAAUCUUAAAAAAAAAAAAAAAAAGGUGGGGCGCCUGGGUGGCUCAGUGGGUUAAGCCGCUGCCUUCGGCUCAGGUCAUGAUCUCAGGGUCCUGGGAUCGAGUCCCGCAUCGGGCUCUCUGCUCAGCAGGGAGCCUGCUUCCUUCUCUCUCUCUCUCUCUGCCUGCCUCUCAGUGUACUUGUAAUUUCUCUCUGUCAAAUAAAUAAAUAAAAUCUUUAAAAAAAAAAAAA
Molecule: long non-coding RNA, 1269 nt
Organism: Mustela lutreola (European mink)
Lineage: Eukaryota; Metazoa; Chordata; Mammalia; Carnivora; Mustelidae
Exons: 3
Source: RefSeq, a predicted model, not a curated record